RNAcentral lists this long non-coding RNA (666 nucleotides) under Gallus gallus (chicken). RNAcentral's name for it is "long non-coding RNA NONGGAT004194". The record is from RNAcentral. Lineage: Eukaryota; Metazoa; Chordata; Aves; Galliformes; Phasianidae.
AAAGACAGGAGGGGUUUCCACUUACGAUUCCAUUUUUAAAAGACCAGAGGGUUACAACGAAAAACUUCACCGAUGUGACAGAGAGCAUGCAAGGAGUCGUGGUCUUAACGUGAAUGAUGAGGAAAUGGCAAGACCUGUCGCUGUUUUGUCAUCUUCAGAGUAUGGGAGACGCACAGACAAGCACACAGAGCAGCAGAUCCGAAGUCAUGCAAGGAUUAAUUGUGUGCAGGCAGAAUUCUACAGGAAAAAUGGCAUCACCUGCCUAUUGGAAAAACCUUCUCCAAGACUGGAUCCGUGCUAAAAUCUCUUACAGCUGACAUUGCCAGCAGUAUUUGUGUGCACAGAAACAUGUCAAAAUGCAAAAUAGUGCUUCUGCCUUUUCCUUUGCAUUUUCAUUAAUGAAAAUGAUUUAUAUGAAAUAACUGCACUUUUCCUCAUGUUGAUUCAAAUGUAUGUUUUCUCCUUUGAGUCUCCUAGAAGUCUCAUGUAGAACAUCCACAAAAGCUGAACAUUUCAGGAAGCAACACUGGAAAUUAAAUCUGUUGGGUCAACAGCCAUCUGUGCUAUUUCAGGCAGUAACUCUACAUAACUGUUCACUGACUUAACAUGAAAUUUGCUCCUUGUGGUAUCAGUGGUUGCUGAUUUCUUCAUACUUAUAGUUCUUAA